CUCCAGUUCAGAGUGAACACGAGGAACUGCUUCCUGCCGGCUCACCGGGAUCACACCGUGAAACUGACAGAUGAAACCAAAGACUGGACCCUCAGUUGUCUCUGGCCCGGACUGUGAAAGGCCUCCUGCUCCAUAUGUUGACCUGUAAGGCUGUAAUGGUUAAAAUCAGUGCGAUAUGGGACAUCUCCUCUUGGAGGAUAGUUCUCCCAGAGGAUCCCGCUUCUUGGGUCUGGAGUGUAUUCCUCAAGCACUGGUGUUUCUGGCUCUGGGAUGUUUGGUGGGAUUUGGUAAGUAUGUUGAUUCUCAUCUUCCUCCACAAUAAGGUCAUCUGGAUUACACCUGCCUGGAGAUGGAAAAUUCAGCUUAUAUACUGUUAUAUUAGCUUAGAAGGAUCAUUUUGUGUUACCACAAUUUUUUAAAAAGAGAAAAUUCAGUAAAUACGAUUGAUUUUGGACUUAUUUUAAGCUUAUUUUAAAACCCCAAGGACCAGACUCAGCUAAAAAUCUUUUUUAAAGUUCUACUGAAGAAAAAAACACAUCACAUCCAUCUUCAAUGGCCUCAGGCAUUUUUUGGAGCCUUCAGAAUGAUGUCAAAUCUCUCAUGGUUUUCUUCCAGUCCAUCAUCUUUGAGGGUCUGUGACUUGAAACUCAAAGCUGUCCGCCGUCACGUCUACAUCUACAGGAAUGACAUAGCGCACAGCCUUCUGGUCUACAU
Danio aesculapii is the source of this 714-nucleotide long non-coding RNA. RefSeq lists it as uncharacterized. The transcript has 4 exons. Lineage: Eukaryota; Metazoa; Chordata; Actinopteri; Cypriniformes; Danionidae. The record is from RefSeq and is a predicted model, not a curated record.